GGAAUUGGGGGUUACUAUCUUGGAAUCUAGGGGCACUCCAGGCUCUGGGCUCAGACGGCUGACUUCUGCCUACCCGAGCCUUAACCUUUCAAAGACCAGAAGGAUUCCAGAGCUCUUGCCCUAGGUCCUGGGGCAGCGAUGACUCACUGCAGCACCCCCUCCCACUUCGCCAAGCUGCCGUCUCCGCCCACCCCCAAACAAUCUCGACAGCGCAUUUCGGGAGCCACGGCUCCGGGCGCUUUGCUGGGGGCUAAAGGGGUUUAUCCCUUUCCUUGAAUCCCAGGAGGCUAGAACUACCCCCUCCCAGUCUUCAGGCUUGCCACGCUCUCCACCCGAUCCUUCCAUUGAAAGGCAGAGAAGGAAGGAUGUGCUUGGGAACUUUAAGACCCACGAACGACAGCGCACUGAUGGAGCAGCCCAGUGUCCGGGGCAAAGUCCUCGAGGUUCAUUCAUUCAGGAAGCCUCUGACCAGCCUUUACCAUGCGCUGAGUGAGAAGCUGAGGAUAAGGAAAGAGCAAGACCCCCAAGAAACCCUGAUGUCUGGCUGAAAGCCGAAGCAUGACGCAACUUUGCUAUAUUUCUCUCCAACAAGGAUUUGUAUAUUUUCGCUUUCUCCUCAAGUAACACCUGGACCUGCUCCUUUCCCUUCAAACGCUGAGGGCUCAGUCUCCAAGUUCCUUUAUGAAACAGGGUGUACCAUCAGAGACGCAGGUAAGAAACCUGAACCGCGUGGCCUCAUAUAAACCCCACCACACCUCUGUCCUGGGCUUCUUCCCUGCAACAGGUGUAAAGACAAAAGGCUCAUUGUCCUUUGGAGCCUAUAGGAUAAACAGAAAGAACAUGUCCUUGCCGGUUAAUCUGCCGGUGAUAAAGAGUAUUGUUUUAUCUCCUGCCAUCUCCACGUUCCAAGAGAUGAAUUCUAUUGUGACACAAAGUCUGCUUUGUCCUUCCAACCCACUGAGAUGUUUAAAUUGGCCUCUCGUAUAUUCCUUGGCUGUCACAAUAAGAGCAAUGAGUUGUUAUAAUGUGUUGAGAGGAUCUUUCCCCCAUGACAAGGAGACCAUCAUCUACAGAGAUGCUAUGAUGCUGAGAAAUAAUGUGCUUCUCUUCUGCUCUAAUUUUUUUUUAAUUAAGACUUUUAUUUUUUGAGCAGUUAUAGGUUUAGAGAAAAAUUGAAGGGAAAGUACAGAGAGUUCCCAUCUUCUCUCACCCCUUUCAUCUCUGUUUCCAUACAGUUGCUACAAUUGAUGAGCCAACAGCCAUACGUUAUUAACUAAAGUUCACAGUUUACAUUAGGGUUCACUCUUUGCUUGUACAUUCUAUGGGUUUUGUCAAAUAUAUGAUAACCUGUAUCCUCCAUUAUAGUACAAUACAGAAGAAUCUCACUGCCCUAAAAAUCUCCUGUGUUCCUCCUGUGCAUCCCUCCCUCCCAUCCCCUGGGGAACCACUGAUCUUUUUGCUGGCUCCAGUUUUACCUUUUUCAGAAUGUGAGGUAGUUGGGAGUCAUACAGUACAUAUAUAUAUAUAUACGUAUAUAUAUAUAUAUAUAUAUAUAUAUAUAUAUAUGUGUAUAUAUAUGUAUAUAUAUAUAUAUGUGUAUAUAUAUGUAUAUAUGUAUAUAUAUAUAUAUAUAUAUAUAUAUAUAUAUAUACGUAUAUAUACGUAUAUAUAUAUAAAAUAGCCUUUUUAGAUGGAUGUCUUUCACAUAGCAAUAUGCACUGAACUUUCCUCCAUGACUUUGUGUGGCUCAAUAGUUCAUUUCUUUUUGUUGCUGAAUAGCUUCUGCUUAAUUUUCAAAGUGUUUAAUGUAAGAAAGCGGUAUAGUCCAUGUGCAGUGGCUCAACACCUGUAGUCCCAGCCCUCUGGGAGGCGGAGGCGGUGGAUCACUUGAGCCCAGGAGUUUGAGACCAGCCUGGGUAACAUGAUAAAACCCUGUCUCCAUAAAAAAUACAAAAAUUAGCUGGAAAUGGUAGUGUGCGCCUGUAGUCCCAGCUACUCAGGAGGCUGCGGUGGGAGGAUUGCUUAAGCCCAGGAGCUAGAGCCUAUAGUGAGCCAUGAUUGUGCCACCGCACUCCAGCCUGGGUGACAGAGUGAGAUCCUGUCUCAGAAACAAAAAAACAAAAAACAAAAAAAAAAACAGAAACAACAACAACAAAACAGCAGUAUAUUUGUCCCCACUCUCAUCUCUUCCUUUAUGGGUAUUUCCCUAAUUGUGAGAGAUUACCUGUGUUUUAAAAGGUGGCUUACUGUAUGCAUUGAGAAAAUUAAAUGACAUUUCAGACCAGUUCCAAGUACCUUUUGCAAAGCUAGAGAAAUAAAAGUGAAUUCUAGUAUCUCAAUCACAGCGUAAAACUAGAGAAGGUCUGUUUGGGCUUCAGGCAACAUUGGUGUUCUUGGCAAUUUUACCCAGAAGAAUUUAUAUUCCUAUAAUUAGUACUUCCUCCAAAAUUAAUGAUCGCCUGAUUGAUUUAUUUCUCUCCUAGCAGCACUGGAGGUCCCACUUACCUAGUUAGUAAUAACAUUUGCUCUUAAUACAUGAGUCAGUUUUCUUUUUUCCUUUUUUCUUUUUUUUUUUUUUACAUUUCCAAAACAGAAUACCCUGCAGGAAGAAUGGGAUGGCAGUGGAGGAGCUCUCACUCACGUAUCAUGUAAUGUGGGAGGCAGGGAUAUGCGAUAGUUAUAAAGGGUGCAGGCUUCAGAAUCAAAGGAGUGAGGUUGGUGUCCCUGCUUACGCCCUACUAGCUGAGUGUCCUUCAGGUCAUUUCUCCUCUCUCAGACUCAGUGGACUGUUUCCUAAAGCGCAGCUCAUAACAGGCUGUACGUGGUAAGACUGUCGGGAAGAUGGAAGGAGAUCAGUCAUCCCUAGAGAGCAUUAAGCACAGUCUCAGCCACAAAACACUUCCUCAAACAUGAUGCAAGCCACACAGGGCAUUUGGCCUGCGUAUAAAGGACAUACUGAGGACAGUGUAGAUGCUCACGAAAUUAGUCCUGAAUGAUCAAGGGGGGAAAGAGAGGGUUAAUCUUAUCAUAUGUGGGCUCUCAGAGAACACAGAGCUAUAGAAGGAAGCUGACUUAAUAAGGGUCAAGCAUGAUAGGGGAGAUUAGGAACCGUGUGCAAUCUAAUGGAACCACAGAUAACACUUCUAGUACUUUUUCCUUUUGGCCCUGCCCCUGCUGAGACAGGGCCACUGCUAAUAACUCACAUUCUUCUCUUCUCUCCUCUCAAAAAGCCCAUUUCCUGAGCAAGUAUAUGCUUUGGUAAGGUCAUUAGUGGUCAACAUGGUUCCCAAGUUUAGUGAAUACUUUCAGAUAAAACUGAAGGGUGCAAAAUCACUCUUUCCUCUCUCCCUCUCCUUAUCCUACCUCUCACAAUAAAACGACUUAUCUACUAAUUACAAAGACCUCAAUAGUGGAAGAAACCCAUAUCCUACAUAACAUGGAGAGCUAGCUAUAUACCCUUGGCAUCAGUUUUUAUCCUACUUUUACUUUUUACUGACUUUCAUUUACUGAACAAAGCCUCCUUUGCCAAAGACAGGGUAAAUAAACUCAGUCACAUCCUGUCUUCCUUACAUCUUUGUUUAUCCAUAAACUGUCGAAGAUACAGAUGAAAAUCCACUAAAGCAUGCUUGAAGCGGUUACACGAAGGCCAAAUAAGAUGGGAAUGGAAAUGCCUGAUGUUAAGGGAAGAUACUACCUAAAAUGAUACUGAGCUGGCCCGUGUAAUGACAUGAAAACAAAAAAAAAA
RNAcentral lists this non-coding RNA (3745 nucleotides) under Pan troglodytes (chimpanzee). Lineage: Eukaryota; Metazoa; Chordata; Mammalia; Primates; Hominidae. The record is from RNAcentral.